GCAUGUCAACGAAAAUCCAAAUUGAACAGAUGUGGAAUUUCAAUUCAACACCAUCACCCCCUCCUCGACUGAUUCACCAUAUAUUUGGGUAUCGUAAAAACAUAUCUAAACUGCGCAAAUGUUGCGACGUACCAAGCGACCAUCUAAACCGCCUUACGCUAGACCAUCACAACAUCCAGCUCUUCGGUCAUUGCCCACACAGAAUCUGACCCCUGCUAUUCCAACCCGGAUUCAGCCCCGUCCGACAUCAAGUCAACCCCAAGAGGAGUAUCAGAUGAGCAUAUAGGACACAGCUAUCAUUUAAUCACAAGGUAGUCUCCCAGCCUAAUCGCGGAAACCACCGCACCCAAACAGCCACCGGCGACACCCUUCAUAACAGGUGAAAAUCCCCUUUCUUAUCGCACAGCAUGUUUAUAAUUUUCGUAAUUUUAUUUCAUAUUAUUGAUGUUUUGCUAGCAUUGUUUUAUAUUACCUCCCUUAAUGCUAUGGUAAUUUCCAUUUACUACUUUAAUAACACGCUGUAUCAAUUUUAUUGUGUGCAGUGCUUAAUGGUUAUUUAUUAUAAUAAAAUUAUUAUGCCCCCCCCCCUUUCAAGGAAGAGGGGCAUUUAUUAGUUUGCACCUGAUGGUUGGCAGACUACGUGUUGCCCCUCAAUAUCACCAAUUACUUCAUCGUAAUGAUAUUUCAUAUGGGAGUUGUUAACUUGGUUAUGAGUUGACGAGGACCCCUAUUGUUUUUAUGGUCAAGGGUCAAUCUUCUCUGGACAUAGGAAUACCUAGUCUGCUCAAUAUCUUGAGAACCCUUUGCUUGACAGACAUCAAACUUGGUACACUGGUACAUCCCAAAGAGUAGAUAACCCCUAUUGAUUUUGAGGUCACAUGGUCAAGGGUCAAACAGGACAUAGAAAUUAUAUACUGACCACUCAAUGUCUAGAGAACCCUUUGCUUGACAGACAUCAAACGUGGUACACUGGUACAUCAUCAGAAGAUGACCCCUCUUGAUUUUAAGUCACAUGGUUAAAGGCCAAGGGUCAAACUGGACAUAUGUAUAUAUUGACCACUUAAUGUCUAGAUAACCCUUUGCUUGACAGACAUCAAAUUUGGUACACUGGUGCAUCUUCAGGAGAUGACCCCCUUGAUUUUGAGGUCACAUGGUCAAAGGUCAAUGGUCAAACUGGACAUAGAAAUAUAUUGUCCAAUCAAUAUCUUGAGAACCCUUUGCUUGACAGACAUCAAAUUUGGUACAUCUUAAGGAGAUGACCCCUAUUGAUUUUGAGGUCACGUGGUCAAUGGUUUAAUUGUUUCCUAAUUUUAAGAAUUCUUCGCUUUGCUGACACCAAAUCUGGUACAGCAUAAGAAGUAGAUGACCCCCAUUGAGAUUUGGUGACUUGGUCAAUCCACUCCUGACAUUGGAAGAUAUUGUCUGCUCUAUUUCGAAUUGGUCAUACUACUAUCAAUCCAAUUAGGCACGUGUAUACCCGUUUUCAAUUUUGCAACAUGGGGGCAUAUACAUGUAUGUUUUACAAACACAUCUUGUUAUUACAAGCAUUACUGAUGAACUUGGGGCUCACGUUUCUCAAGCCAUUAAAGAUAAAAUUUGGGCAAAGCAUUAUGUCAAUUUAUCUUAACUCUUGAAUUCACAAUCACACAACAACCAUGAUACGCACAAAUUUUCAAUCAUACAAGGUCAAUUAGUUCUCGAACCCAUCAUCAAACAUAACAAAAUUCCCACGAUUCAUAACUCCAUAGAUAGAUUUUUGAUAUUCGCAAGUAUAUAUUUAGCUAGGCAUCCUUCUGACAUCCAGGGCAUCUAAAAAAUAUAUCCAUGCCAUUCGCAUAGCACAUGAUCGUAACUAAUUCUAACCGGCUCGAGUACGAUAGGUGUUCAGGCCAACAACAACAAAAUCCCUCAACCUCCUUUGGUUCCAUUGAUGCUGGGUUAUGGUUCAUGUAUAUAUGCAAUCCUAAGUUUCCUACCAGGUAACCCUUCAAAUUAGUGAAAAACCACAGACACAUUGGUACAUACACAUUGGUACAUUUAAAUAUUCAUUGUUUGAUUCAAAAUAUUCAGUGAAUUAUGGAUUCAUUGACCUCAAAUGUUGCGAUCAUCACUUUAAAGGACAAUGCCUUAAACCACACAGCAUCAACUUAUCAAAUGGGCAUAAACUCUCUUCAAACUUUCGUACCAAAUUUGAAUUCCAGCUAUAUUGGCCCCCACCAGUUCACCAGUGUAUCAACUAUAUUGCUUUCUUAAGUACCACCUAAGUAUCGUUUUCAACGGCUAGGUGCAUUAGUUAUAAAAUUCAGUUAGAGGGCGGUAUUGACAACACAAAACCUUCAUAGUAAGCUCAAUCCUACAGGGAUUCCAUAGGAUCAACCUAGUAAAACAUGCCCGUUUCCCUAUCACUCUUCGUAUAUCUAUCCUACCAAUAGUUUGUUUAAGUUCAUACGAAGCCGCCAUGUUUCCCACCGCAUUUCAGUUGGCAAUUUUUGCAUUGUUGCGGGUUGUUGCUAGUCAUGCCGCUCCUACACUAUUGUACAAUCACGUAUCAAUAGGCGAUGUACAUAUUUCGUUGUUUAUAACUGGCUCAAAACAUCAAUGCAAUAGGGGUUCUAUGUUGCACAUUUCACUCAACUCACGAGCAGAUUCAUUGUUCAAGCACAUGCACAAUUUUUUGUCCAUUAGACCAAUCACGUGGCCCAUUUUACUGCCACCUUAAUGCCAAACCGCUCACAAAAUAACAACUUGCAUCAUUAUUGCACAGGCCUAUUGAAUUCAUCGGUCUAGAUCCCCAACACGAAAUUCAGGCUAGAGGCAGAUGGAAAUGUGAAUCAUUUAAUGCCCAUAUCAGAGCCUAAAAAUUCAAAUUUUUAAGUAUACCUGCAAUAUUGUGCGUCCUAAUUCAAUACUACUGUCUGGAUCAUUGCCUCUUCCAUUAUUCAUUAUCCUGCCCGCCGUAUAUGGAUUUACUACAGCGUAUCUUUUUAGUGUGGUAAGAGUGGUAUGGUGCGGAAGGAGGUGGAGCCUAUUGUUGCACAAAGGGGCAAGCCUGAUAUUAUAUUAAUUAAUUGGGGAGGGGGGCCGUAUUGGUACAACGCCAUUGGCUAUAUUGCAAAAAAUUCUGAAAUUAACUAUUGCCAGGAUGCCUAUUUACAAACUUCUUCCACAAACUCGGUUCAUAUCGUCCCAGAUCCUCCCCUGGCGUUACUAUACACAUACGUUCUCAAUAUUGCAGCAGACAACGCACGUACGAGUAUUAUCAAAUCUUUAGCUCCAUUCGUAACAUCACACAAUGCCGAAUGCAUAAAAUACCUAGGUCUUCAACAAUGCUCUUCAAAUUUCACAGUAUGCAUUUUCUGAUAUUGCUCAGGUUAUGUUUUUAAACAGUAUCUGGGAUGGAUUGCGCAGCAUUGUCCAAAGAAACGAUAGAAUAUUUCCUUAACCUAACUACUAUUUGAUAAGCAGUCUCCCUGUCAUGGCUCGAGCAAAAUUUUGCCCUCUUGUGGCGGAUGUCUUCAUGUAUGUUAACAUUUCUUAAACAUACAUGAAGACAUAUGGUCGAAUUUUGCUAAGCCUGCCACAUAUUUUGUUUCAGUCCAGGUCCGUGGCCAAUAAUUGGGCUUAUUGACAUUGAAUGAUUGAUUGAUAUAUUGAUUGAUUGACACAUUGGUGGAUUGAAAUAUUGAUUGAUUGAAAAUAUUGAUUGAUUGACACAUUGGUGGAUUGAAAUAUUGAUUGAUUGAUUGAAAAUAUUGAAUGAAUUAUUGAUUGAUAUAUUGAUUGACUGACACGUUGGUGGAUUGAAAUAUUGAUUAAAAAUAUUGAAUGAAUUAUUGAUUGAUUGACACAUUAGUGGAUUGAAAUAUUGAUUGAUUGAUUGAUUGAAAAUAUUGAGUGAAUUAUUGAUUGAUUGACUCAAACAUGCAUGGACUAUUGAUGCUACAACAUUAUUAUCCAAAAGUCGUUGUAGAUCAUGCAUUUCAUUACAGAGUGUAUAUGAUAUACAUACUGAUGGUUUGUAUUGAUAUGAACAUUGUCGUUGAAUUGGAAAUGUUUUUAUUAAGUAAAGCCAUGACAAAGACUGCCAA
Ostrea edulis (European flat oyster) is the source of this 4088-nucleotide long non-coding RNA. RefSeq lists it as uncharacterized. NCBI's taxonomy places the organism in Eukaryota, Metazoa, Mollusca, Bivalvia, Ostreida, Ostreidae. The record is from RefSeq and is a predicted model, not a curated record. The transcript is spliced from 2 exons.